This 793-nucleotide ribosomal RNA is filed under the name uncultured bacterium. Its description in RNAcentral is "bacterial SSU rRNA". It matches the Rfam family "Bacterial small subunit ribosomal RNA", at positions 8 to 809 of the family's 1533-position model. The record is from RNAcentral.
AGAGUUUGAUCCUGUUCUCAGAACGAACGUUGGCGGCGUGGAUUAGGCAUGCAAGUCGAACGAGAACCGUAGCAAUACGGGGAAAGUGGCGAAAGGGGCAGUAAUGCAUGGGUAAUCUACCCCGGGGACGUGGAUAGCCAUCCUAACGGGUGGGUAAUACACGGCGAUUCGGCGAUGAGACAUCUUGUUGCCGGGAAAUGAAUUUCGCCUCGGGAGGAGCUCAUGUCGUAUUAGGUAGUUGGCGGGGUAACGGCCCACCAAGCCUCAGAUGCGUAGCGGGUGUGAGAGCACGACCCGCGCCACUGGCACUGAGACACUGGCCAGACACCUACGGGUGGCUGCAGUCGAGGAUCUUCGGCAAUGGGCGCAAGCCUGACCGAGCGACGCCGCGUGUGCGACGAAGGCCUUCGGGUUGUAAAGCACUGUCGAGGGGGAGGAAGACCCGAAAGGGUUUGACCUAUCCCUGGAGGAAGCACGGGCUAAGUUCGUGCCAGCAGCCGCGGUAAGACGAACCGUGCGAACGUUGUUCGGAAUCACUGGGCUUAAAGGGCGCGUAGGCGGGCCGCAAAGUCAGGGGUGAAAUCCUCCAGCUUAACUGGAGAACUGCCUUUGAUACUGGCGGCCUGGAGUAAGGUAGGGGCGUGCGGAACUGAUGGUGGAGCGGUGAAAUGUGUUGAUAUCAUCAGGAACUCCGGUGGCGAAAGCGGCACGCUGGACCUUCACUGACGCUGAGGCGCGAAAGCCAGGGGGAGCAAACGGGAUUAGAUACCCCGGUAGUCCUGGCCCUAAACGA